GAGGGUAUAGUUCAAGUGGUAGAGCGCACGCUUAGCAUGCAUGAGGUCCUGGGUUCAAUCCCUAUUACCACCA
RNAcentral lists this transfer RNA (73 nucleotides) under Camelus bactrianus (Bactrian camel). It matches the Rfam family "tRNA". Rfam says of the family: Transfer RNA (tRNA) molecules are approximately 80 nucleotides in length. Their secondary structure includes four short double-helical elements and three loops (D, anti-codon, and T loops). The record is from Rfam by way of RNAcentral. Lineage: Eukaryota; Metazoa; Chordata; Mammalia; Artiodactyla; Camelidae. RNAcentral also lists the same sequence under 2 other names.